RNAcentral lists this ribosomal RNA (465 nucleotides) under Vreelandella stevensii. RNAcentral's name for it is "partial 16S ribosomal RNA". It matches the Rfam family "Bacterial small subunit ribosomal RNA", at positions 338 to 795 of the family's 1533-position model. Lineage: Bacteria; Pseudomonadati; Pseudomonadota; Gammaproteobacteria; Oceanospirillales; Halomonadaceae. The record is from RNAcentral.
CCUACGGGGGGCUGCAGUGGGGAAUAUUGGACAAUGGGGGGAACCCUGAUCCAGCCAUGCCGCGUGUGUGAAGAAUGCCCUCGGGUUGUAAAGCACUUUCAGUGAGGAAGAACGCCUGGUGGUUAAUACCCAUCAGGAAAGACAUCACUCACAGAAGAAGCACCGGCUAACUCCGUGCCAGCAGCCGCGGUAAUACGGAGGGUGCGAGCGUUAAUCGGAAUUACUGGGCGUAAAGCGCGCGUAGGUGGCUUGAUAAGCCGGUUGUGAAAGCCCCGGGCUCAACCUGGGAACGGCAUCCGGAACUGUCAAGCUAGAGUGCAGGAGAGGAAGGUAGAAUUCCCGGUGUAGCGGUGAAAUGCGUAGAGAUCGGGAGGAAUACCAGUGGCGAAGGCGGCCUUCUGGACUGACACUGACACUGAGGUGCGAAAGCGUGGGUAGCAAACAGGAUUAGAUACCCCAGUAGUC